AUGCUCUGGGCAUGAAAGUCUCCCACCUGACCGUAUGCGGAAAACGCAGUGAGAUUUAAAAAUUUUUACAAUGUUUAAAUCAACUCACUUGGACGUAUCUGUUUUGCAUAUUCUCUCUCUCUCUGCACCCUUUGGGUACCUAGAGUGGGAGGAUUGUUGAAUUGUACGUCUAGUAUUGUCCUGGCAAGUUUAAUACUUGACAGUGUAUAUUUCGGUAUUGGGACCUUGUUAGGUCCUAAACGAUAGUUAUGACGAUUGCCUAAUAUUUUUCUUAUUAGGUAACCCAAUGGAGCUUACUAUA
RNAcentral lists this small nuclear RNA (301 nucleotides) under Maudiozyma barnettii. RNAcentral's name for it is "Kazachstania barnettii partial RNase MRP RNA". It matches the Rfam family "RNase MRP", at positions 63 to 257 of the family's 266-position model. Rfam says of the family: RNase MRP is an enzymatically active ribonucleoprotein with two distinct roles in eukaryotes. Lineage: Eukaryota; Fungi; Ascomycota; Saccharomycetes; Saccharomycetales; Saccharomycetaceae. The record is from RNAcentral.